CACGCAGGCGCCAAAGUGGCGUGUUGUUGCUUAGCAACGCUAUUCCUCUAUCCGAGGCUAUUCCUCUAUCCGAGGUGAUAGAGGAAUUCCAAAGUCCAAUUCACACCGCAUUCCAGCGUGCGCGCACGCGUACGCGCGCACGCAAGUCGGGGGACAGAAAGCCACUUACAAACCCGACACGGUAUUAGAGGCUGGGCUGUGGAAUUUGGGAUGAAGGAAAAGACUUUGCUACCUACUUUGGAAGAACGAACUAGAGCGAGGUAACCACGAGAUAUUUGCUCAGCUAUACUCAUCACGUUCAUCAUAAUAACUAGGAAAUAGAGACAACCUAAAUGUCCUUCAACUGAUGAAAGAUAAUGAAAAUGUGGUACAUAUACACAAUGGAAUUCUAUGUCAGCUGUAAAGAAAAAAUGAAAUCAAUUUGCAAUAGCUAUUCAAAUAUUGGAGAGAAGAAAGAUUAGAAGUAAAUGGAGUUCACAUGGGGGUCAAUGGAUUUCAAGGAAGAUAUUCUGAAUUAACGCUCAGUGCCUGACGAACAGUACUGUACUGAUGUCCACUGACAACUGGAAAGGAGGGUCUCAAUGGUAAGAUUGAAGAAAAUGCUAUGGAUGAAAAUUCUAAUCCUAAGAACAAUAGGAAAGUAUACAGGCAACAAGAGAACAGUAACAUUCUUUCCUGCACACCGGACAUGCUUUCUGAAACCAAAAAUAUCUUACAUAAACUUAAAGAAACAAAAUAACAAGAAACAGAAAACUCAGAGAAGUCCAAAUAUCUAGAAAGAUUCAUCCUGUGAUGAGGAAAACAGAAAGGGAAAUCACGAUGUUAUGGGAAAUAGGCCAGACAAAGAAAGACAAAUAAUACAUUUUCUCACAUCUGAAGAAUCUAGAUUUAAAUGUUUCUGUAUGUGGUCAUAGAUCAGAAAAGAGGACACAGACAUGAAAAAGAUCUUGGGGAGAAAGAAUGAUGCAACAUCUGUGACAGGAAAGCAGAAAGGGGCUAUGUGGAAGAGGAAGGGGAUCAGCAAAAUGGGGCAAACGGAUGAGGAAGACUGAAGCAUGUAUGAAAAUGCCAUCAUGCUACCCAUUACUUUGCAUACUAACUUUAAAAGCUGAUUUAAGAAACCUAUAUAUUUAUACUCUAAACAAGUGGUUCUCAACCUGUGAGUUUCACCACCCACAGGGGUUGAUGUCAGAUAUCAUGUAUAUCAGAUAUUUACAUUGUGAUUCAUAAAGUAGCGAAAUUAUAACUAUGAAGUAGCAAUGAAAUAAUUUUUUGAUUGGGGUCACCACAACAUGAGGAACUGUCUUAAAGGGUUACAGCAGUAGGAAGGUUGAGAAACACUGCUCUAAACCAUCUCUUGAAAUAUAUAUAUGUUUUUAUAUUAUAUAUAUAUAUACAUAUAUAUAUAUGGCUAAAAAGAGUUAAAUGCAAUAGUUUACUUCGUUUUCUUGUGAAAGCACAAUCUUUCAACAAUUUUCAUGGAUUUUUCAUUGUAACUUGAAAAAAAUUUUCUUUUAAAUAAGUUUCUUCAAACUCCAUAGGAAACUUACUGUAGAAAGAAACCCAGUGUGCCACCUAAAGGAGAUACCGUGAGGUCUUUCUCAUAGACAGACACAUGAAGUAGAUGGUGCAGCAGGUCACUGACAGCCUAAGUGUUCCAGAGAAGAGAUGGAUCUUGGAUUUAGCUAGAGAUGAAAAUAUAGCACUGUGUGAGAUUUUGAGACCUUGUAAAUAGGAAAGCAAAUAUGAUAAUAUUCUUGAGCCAUUGAUACCAUGGUGGAAUGCUCUAUCAUACCAUUUCUGACCACAGCUUUGGUUUUUUCCUUCUCUCUGGUUAUGAGAACAAAUUUCAAGGGUAGUCAUGUCUACUUUGCUGUUCAUAGUCCAGCAGUUAAGAACUCCAUAAUAACUAUGCCCCAAACCAUGUCUCGAUGGUAGGUAUAAGCCUUGAUUCCUGCUGAAUAACUACUGACCUUGUUAUCACUAAUUUAUACCAGAUAGGGUUUCAAGCCUUUCUAUAUGAGCUGAACUUCCCAUUUGAAAACUCUUUAUAAAGAUUUUUUUAAAUCAAUGUGUGUUGUAGAAUAGAAUGUUAGUUUAACUGUGUAAAGAUGUGUUGUAUUUGAUUGUGUUGCAGAAUAAUUGUUUAGCUCUGUAAAGAUGGAUUACAUUUGUUUUUGCUGCAUUUGUUUAAUUAUGUAAAAAUUAUAUGUUGCUGUUUUACCUUGCCUGCUUAAGGCACCUGAUUAUUCUAAUAAAAAGCUGGAGGGGCUGGAGAGAUGGCUCAGUGGUUAAGAGCAUUGCCUGCUCUUCCAGAGGUCCUGAGUUCAAUUCCCAGCAACCACAUGGUGGCUCACAACCAUCUGUAAUGAGGUCUGGUGCCCUCUUCUG
Alexandromys fortis (reed vole) is the source of this 2391-nucleotide long non-coding RNA. RefSeq lists it as uncharacterized. NCBI's taxonomy places the organism in Eukaryota, Metazoa, Chordata, Mammalia, Rodentia, Cricetidae. The record is from RefSeq and is a predicted model, not a curated record. The transcript has 5 exons.